RNAcentral lists this ribosomal RNA (469 nucleotides) under uncultured bacterium. RNAcentral's name for it is "bacterial SSU rRNA". It matches the Rfam family "Bacterial small subunit ribosomal RNA", at positions 32 to 507 of the family's 1533-position model. The record is from RNAcentral.
CGAGGACGACGCUGGCGGCGUGCCUAACACAUGCAAGUCGAACGGAGCUUGACCCUUCGGGGUUAAGCUUAGUGGCGGACUGGUGAGUAACGCGUGAGGAACCUGCCUAGGAGUGGGGAAUAACAGUCCGAAAGGACUGCUAAUACCGCAUAAUGCAGUUGGGUCGCAUGGCUCUGACUGCCAAAGAUUUAUCGCUCUUAGAUGGCCUCGCGUCUGAUUAGCUAGUUGGUAGGGUAACGGCCUACCAAGGCGACGAUCAGUAGCCGGACUGAGAGGUUGGCCGGCCACAUUGGGACUGAGACACGGCCCAGACUCCUACGGGAGGCAGCAGUGGGGAAUAUUGGGCAAUGGGCGCAAGCCUGACCCAGCAACGCCGCGUGAAGGAAGAAGGCUUUCGGGUUGUAAACUUCUUUUAUCAGGGACGAAACAAAUGACGGUACCUGAUGAAUAAGCCACGGCUAACUACGUG